This 86-nucleotide ribosomal RNA is filed under the name Bison bison bison. The record is from RNAcentral. Lineage: Eukaryota; Metazoa; Chordata; Mammalia; Artiodactyla; Bovidae.
GUCUCAGGCCGUAUCAGCCUGAAGGCGCCCGAUCUCGUCUGAUCUCGGAAGCUAAGCAGGGUCGGGCCUGGUUAGGAUCUUGGAUA